This is a long non-coding RNA of Rhinolophus ferrumequinum (greater horseshoe bat), 1759 nucleotides long. RefSeq lists it as uncharacterized. The transcript is spliced from 3 exons. NCBI's taxonomy places the organism in Eukaryota, Metazoa, Chordata, Mammalia, Chiroptera, Rhinolophidae. The record is from RefSeq and is a predicted model, not a curated record.
GACGCUGGGCAGAGCUUCCAGGCAGCCUCUCCCUGUGGCAUGGCUCACAGUGGGGGGCAGGGGCAGGGGUACAGGUAGGAAUGAGCCAGGCAAAGGGAAGUGGAAAGCAUGUUCCAGGCAGAGGGAAGAGCCUGAGCAAAUGUCCAGAGAUAAAGAGAUGAGACACAUCUGAUAAGCUGAAAAAUACACACCUGAGUUCCUGAACUGACAAGGCUGAGGACCACAAUUUUAACCUGAGGGGACACAGCAUCUUCAGACCCUUCUGACACCCUUCUUCCUCAAGGGUCAGGAGAAGAGGGGGGUGCAGACCAGCCUUCAGAAGGUUCUUGACUACAACCUCCUGAAUCAAAACCAUGCAGAUCAGAACCAAGAAGCCAAGAUGAAAGAAAACCUUGCCUGUGAAGGCACCAAAUUAUCAGUUACCUGCUGGUCUCGACUCUCCUCCUCUGGCUUCCUUACUUCGAAGUUUAGGUCUGCAGUAAUUGCUUUAUACAGAAGAGCAAAAGAUGCUCCUUUAAAAUCUUAUUUCUUUGUUUUAAUCUUUUUGCCAGAGGCCCAAGCCUUUUUUCCCUCCUAACAAUACAACAUAACUGGACUCGUGCCAUGUUAUCUUCAAAACCACAGAGGGUUCAUAGCCAAUCUCUCCCCUCUCCAAUCAGAUAGGCUUCUGAAAUUAAAAACCUUAGCAAUAUCCUUGGCCCCAAACGUCACCUGGUCUUGGAAGAGAGGGAAGCAAAAACUUCUGACUUACGGCUCAUGAGAGAGUGUGGCUGGGGCCUGAGGAGCCUCCUGGUUAGGCUGGUGAUGGGGGACAGAGGAUUGUGCUGUGACCCAUCCCACAGGGUGCCAAAAAUAGGCAGGUAACUCAGGGAUGUAAGGGAUGAGAGGCCAACAGACCACCCCUCACCCAGUUACUUGCACGAAGCCUCGCCUCCCCAUGCACCUCUUAUGAGGUCAGAAAUUCAUUUACCAAUGCAGAUUUAGUGGUUUACAUUAUGUGGAUGGGCUGAACAUAACCAAAUAUCCAGGAAGUGUCAGAGUAAGACAGCCUAUGAAAGGGCUUCGCUGGACCUUAAAACAGUACUUCUCAAACUUUCCUGUGCAUACAAGUCACUUGUGCAUAUCAUUAGACUGCACACUGUGACUUAGUGGGCCUGGGUGGGGCCAAGACUCUGCAUUUCUGACAAGCUCUCGCAGACGAUCCUCAUGCCGCUGAUCUGCAAACUACAUUUUGAGCAGCACAUCUUGAAAUGAGACCUCACUCUUGGAAAGGAUCCCAGAGAGACAGCUUACCAUUUUGUGACGAGCCUGAUACUAAUGGGGAAAGAAUGAAGAAUGCGAAUGUAUAAAAUGGAGUCACUUUAACCAAGCUGCUAAAAUUAUUAACAUUAUGAAUGUUGAGGCAUGAGGAAAGACUUCAUUCUCAUUCUAAAUAGCUUGGGAACUUAAACUUUUUGAUCUUUCCAGUCCUGUGUCAAUGCAGGAUAUGCAUGUGGACAUACACCAGACCUCUUAUAACCCUCUAUUACUCUCCGAAGGAAUCACAUAACCAGACUGCCUGACAUCCAUCUGACAUCUGACUGAUAACCAUUAGUCCUACGGCUACGAAUGCAGGACUGAUUAUUCUCAAAAAUGCACUUUUUACUAUAAGAACUCUUACUUUUCCUUCUUCUUCAGAACACUUCUGGGUGUUUGCCUAAGUGUGUUCCUAGUUUGCAAACUCUAAGACCCUUGAAUAAAUCUUUAUCAUUUAUUUCUA